Molecule: ribosomal RNA, 398 nt
Filed under: uncultured bacterium
Lineage: Bacteria
Description: bacterial SSU rRNA
Rfam family: Bacterial small subunit ribosomal RNA
Source: RNAcentral
AGUGGCGGACGGGUGAGUAACGCGUGGGUAACCUGCCUCAUACAGGGGGAUAACAGUUGGAAACGACUGCUAAUACGCAUGAUGUACGGAGGGGCAUCCCUUCUGUACCAAAGAUUUUUAUCGCUUCGAGAUGGGCUCACGUCUGAUUAGCUAGUUGGCGAGGUAACGGCUCACCAAGGCUGCGAUCAGUAGCCGGACUGAGAGGUUGAACGGCCACAUUGGGACUGAGAUACGGUCCAGACUCCUACGGGAGGCAGCAGUGGGGAAUAUUGGGCAAUGGGCGAAAGCCUGACCCAGCGACGCCGCGUGAGGGAAGAAGGUCUUCGGAUUGUAAACCUUUAUGAUCAGGGAAGAAGCAAGUGACGUUACCUGAAGAUGAAGCCACGGCUAACUACGUG